AUGAGGCAGAAAAGCAUGGAUGGUGUAAAUAGCCCAAAGACACCGACAGAGAAGACAGCUCUCCACCCCUGCCCUCCUUCGCCGCCUUGGGAGGCGCAGAGUAGCCAGGAAGCCCUCCACCCCCGCGGUGAGGGUCUCGCACGCGCCGCGCUGGGCGCUCUACUCGCCCAUACGAGCCGGAUUUCCGAGUUAGUGGAGCGCGAGCAGCAGAAUGGGGGGAAUCACCCCGACACUGCUUUCCGCUCACCUCCGGAUCUCUCUAUCAGAGCCAAACCCUCCUCCCGGCCGCUGAGCCGAGUUCCAAUGUGGCUGGCGCCUCCAGUCAGACCUGCCGCGCCCUCCUGCCCGCGCGCUGCCCGAGGGAUGCGGGGCUGGACGCCCGCCCUGGGCCCCAGGACGAGGCGGACAGAGGGCCCGGGUGACAGUCCGAUUUCUCUGUCCCCGAGGCAGGCAGUCAGCCCCCGGCAAUCCUGGACCGGCGAGGCUGAACAGGCUUCGCGAACGCACCUCCGCCCGACUUAUUUUGAAAAACUUCAGGAAAACCAUCAGCACAUCGAGCCCAAAUUGCAAGGCUGGCCCGGGGGCGCCCGCGCGCUCGGACCCACCCGCAGCGCGGACGGACAGUUCCCAUCCACCCCGGGUCCUCAGUCCCCGCCCCGAGCCCCGCUCACUCACGCGCGCCGGGCCAGACCUCGCGGCCAGCCGUGUCGCGGGCCGGGGCAGCCGCAUGGUCCCUGGGAGCUCGCGUGCGCCAAGGCGCAGAAGCCGCGUCCGUGUGGGGGUCCCGCCGGGCGGAAAGCGCCGCGGAGCAGGUCGGCGAGGCCAAGCCGAGGCGGGCGGCGGACGUGCGGCCGCGGGCAGGAACCCGGCAAGGCCCGCCCCGGGGCGGGGACCGCAGAACCCGGGGGCCUGGCCACGAAGCCGGAGACAUUCCCCCUCCCCCCACCCCCACCUCCUCGGAGGGAGCUGCUCUGGGGCCGAGCGGGAGAGGCGAGCGGGUGCCCAGACCCAGCAGGGCAUGGCCACGGCCAAGGCCAAGAUAGGGGUCGGCAGAGGGCGGCGAUCCAGGGGCGCGCUUACCCGGCUUCGGAGGCGCCUUCGAAAGUACGCGCUGGCCGGGAGCAUCCCGGCGCAAAUCCCGGCGCCCCGCGUGGUCCUCCGCCCGCCGCGCGCCCUCCCUUCUGCCUCCUUCGGGGAACCUCGGCUUGGAUUAACGCCUUACUCUUUACCUCUGCUGAGCGGCUCCGCUCCGGCGACGGCUCCGGGGUUGGGCUCCCACGGGGUCUGCGCGCGUCCUUCCGGGCGCCCCGGGCUGGAGAGGCCCACGUGAGGCUCCUCCGCCCUCCCCGGCACUCGGAGGACUGA
This 1365-nucleotide long non-coding RNA is filed under the name Bos indicus x Bos taurus (hybrid cattle). RNAcentral's name for it is "lncRNA (ENSBIXG00000014701.1)". Lineage: Eukaryota; Metazoa; Chordata; Mammalia; Artiodactyla; Bovidae. The record is from RNAcentral.